CCUACGGGAGGCAGCAGUGGGGAAUAUUGCACAAUGGGCGGAAGCCUGAUGCAGCGACGCCGCGUGAGGGAUGACGGCCUUCGGGUUGUAAACCUCUUUCAGUAGGGAAGAAGCGUAAGUGACGGUACCUGCAGAAGAAGCGCCGGCUAACUACGUGCCAGCAGCCGCGGUAAUACGUAGGGCGCAAGCGUUAUCCGGAAUUAUUGGGCGUAAAGAGCUCGUAGGCGGUUUGUCGCGUCUGCUGUGAAAGACCGGGGCUCAACUCCGGUUCUGCAGUGGGUACGGGCAGACUAGAGUGAUGUAGGGGAGACUGGAAUUCCUGGUGUAGCGGUGAAAUGCGCAGAUAUCAGGAGGAACACCGAUGGCGAAGGCAGGUCUCUGGGCAUUAACUGACGCUGAGGAGCGAAAGCAUGGGGAGCGAACAGGAUUAGAUACCCUGGUAGUCCAUGCCGUAAACGUUGGGCACUAGGUGUGGGGGACAUUCCACGUUUUCCGCGCCGUAGCUAACGCAUUAAGUGCCCCGCCUGGGGAGUACGGCCGCAAGGCAAAACUCAAAGGAAUUGACGGCUGAGACNGCGAGACGACACGAGGGAGAGG
Molecule: ribosomal RNA, 597 nt
Filed under: uncultured bacterium
Lineage: Bacteria
Description: bacterial SSU rRNA
Rfam family: Bacterial small subunit ribosomal RNA
Source: RNAcentral